RNAcentral lists this ribosomal RNA (411 nucleotides) under uncultured bacterium. RNAcentral describes it as "bacterial SSU rRNA". It matches the Rfam family "Bacterial small subunit ribosomal RNA", at positions 505 to 916 of the family's 1533-position model. The record is from RNAcentral.
GUGCCAGCCGCCGCGGUAAUACAGAGGAGGCAAGCGUUGUUCGGAAUCACUGGGCUUAAAGCGCGUGUAGGUGGUCUAGCAAGUACUUUGUGAAAUGCCUGAGCUUAACUUGGGAAUUGCUUGGUAUACUGCUGGACUUGAGGCAGAUAGGGGUGCCUGGAACUCUAGGUGGAGCGGUGAAAUGUGUAGAGAUCGGGAGGAACACCGGUGGCGAAGGCGGCCUUCUGGACGGUGACUGACGCUGAGGCGCGAAAGCGUGGGGAGCAAACGGGAUUAGAUACCCCGGUAGUCCACGCUGUAAACGAUGCGCGCUAGAUGUCGGGGGGCUUGCCCUUCGGUGUCGCAGCCAACGCGCUAAGCGCGCCGCCUGGGGAGUACGGCCGCAAGGUUAAAACUUAAAUGAAUUGGCGG